CGGGUCGGGUAAUGGGCCAGACUUUGAGUAUUACGGGCACCCGUUAAAUAUCCUAAUUUUAAUUUUUUUUUAAAAAACAAUUAUUGGCUGGAACUCAAAUUAGGGUUACUUUCAUAUAGUCUUCUCUCUCCUCACUUCCUUAGACAAUCAGUAGCUGCAUCUCAACAUUCUCCUCACUCUUUUUCUCUCUCCUCGCUCACUCUCAAUUCCCAAUCACACACUCUCAAUUGUCUCAAUUCUGAAGCGAACCUCCUUCCUCCAUCUCAGGCGAACCUCCGUUGACCGUUAGUUCCUCACAGUCAGCCGCGUAAGGGAUUAAAGCUAGACUUGGUUUUGGAGCGACCAACAAUUAUCAUUAAUGAAACUAUUGAAGCCUCGGAUUUCACAAAUGACUGAAAUUAUCCUCUCUCCCAUUUCGUUUGAUUUGUGGCUUUAAGAUAUUGUUUGGACUUUGUAAUUUAUUAGGUUGUUUUGUUGUUUUAAUUUGAUGUAAACUGUUUAAACUCUCUGAACUCUCUAGCUGGACACCUUGAACUUUGAACUUUGGUUUGCAUUUUGUACUUUGAAUCAGAAUUUGUUUAAGUGAUGAGAAUAAUUCAA
Molecule: long non-coding RNA, 600 nt
Organism: Chenopodium quinoa (quinoa)
Lineage: Eukaryota; Viridiplantae; Streptophyta; Magnoliopsida; Caryophyllales; Amaranthaceae
Exons: 2
Source: RefSeq, a predicted model, not a curated record